CCAUGUCGAGCGGCGAACAAAUCCAGUAGGUGUUGAGCGUUCGUGCGAUUUCUUCCUGCUUGCCCCGAUUUCAUGUUUUGCUCGGCCGCGCCUCCUCCCUCUGUCCAUGUUUCAAAGUAGCUCAGGCGCGGCGUCUACUCGCUUAAUGUUUUAAAGCAGAAGAUGAGGAUGUAUAGCCCCGCCGAGCAAUCGCCUAUGCCGAAUCAGGUGAUUUUUCUCGGCCCCUCAAGUUUUCUUCCUCAUUCCCUUCUCCCGUUGUUCCUCCUUCCCUUCCCACGGCCGCUCCCAUGGUUGCUCCCCCCCUCUUCCAUCAUGCUUCUUCUCUACCUUCAAUAGCGCUUCUCUGCCUCUCCCGUGCAGCUCCCCCCUGCCCCUCCUAUGUCUGCUGCCCACAUCCUCCCACGGGCGCCUCUCUCCAACCUUCUCAUAGGGCAUCUCUCUCUGCCCCUCCCUUUUCUCUUUUACAUUUGCCGUAGCAUCUCCCCUGUACAGUAGCCUGCUCAUUAAAAAUCUACAUGUCAGAAAUAUCUCAAGGCUCAAGUUCCUUCUUGGCUGCACAUAAUUUGUUUUCUCUUCCCCUUUUAGGUUGUUUUGGAGCUGUAGAUGAAGAUUUGGUAGCAGAUCAGAAAAUUUGCCGGUGAAGGUCACAUAAUAGAUCUUGCUGAUUAUGUAGUUGCAUAAAGAAAUUGACUUGACUCACAGUGUGCUACAUCAUACUAGAUAUUUGGUUCCAUGAACACUUACUUCAUUUUAUAUGAAUGAAUCAGAUUGCCAGUUAGUUUUUACUCACAAUUGAUUGUUGUUGUUUUGCUGAAGAGUUUGUGACAAAAAAGAUAAUUGUUACAGCUGAGAGCAUAGACAAAUCUUAUGUCGUAACAGGUUUGGAGUUACGCUGAGAAUCAAAAUGUCAAGGCUCAAAAAACUAGAUGCUGCCUUCAACUAUGUUCCUUUGUCCAUCUCCUCAAAUACUCUAUAUCAUGUUCCUUUCAGCGGUUAGAUAUUUUUAGUGACAAUAUGUCAGCGGUCGAUCUCAUUGGAGUUUUCCUUUGGUGUGUAGUCAUCUCUUAUACUGGCCAUAAAUUAGUACAUAUA
This 1092-nucleotide long non-coding RNA is filed under the name Triticum aestivum (bread wheat). Its description in RNAcentral is "long non-coding RNA (TAES_LNC008722)". Lineage: Eukaryota; Viridiplantae; Streptophyta; Magnoliopsida; Poales; Poaceae. The record is from RNAcentral.